GUGGGGAAUAUUGGACAAUGGGCGCAAGCCUGAUCCAGCCAUGCCGCGUGAGUGAUGAAGGCCCUAGGGUUGUAAAGCUCUUUCACCGGUGAAGAUAAUGACGGUAACCGGAGAAGAAGCCCCGGCUAACUUCGUGCCAGCAGCCGCGGUAAUACGAAGGGGGCUAGCGUUGUUCGGAAUUACUGGGCGUAAAGCGCACGUAGGCGGACAUUUAAGUCAGGGGUGAAAUCCCAGAGCUCAACUCUGGAACUGCCUUUGAUACUGGGUGUCUUGAGUAUGGAAGAGGUAAGUGGAAUUCCGAGUGUAGAGGUGAAAUUCGUAGAUAUUCGGAGGAACACCAGUGGCGAAGGCGGCUUACUGGUCCAUUACUGACGCUGAGGUGCGAAAGCGUGGGGAGCAAACAGGAUUAGAUACCCGGGUAGUCC
Molecule: ribosomal RNA, 425 nt
Filed under: uncultured bacterium
Lineage: Bacteria
Description: partial 16S ribosomal RNA
Rfam family: Bacterial small subunit ribosomal RNA
Source: RNAcentral